GAAAAAUAUAAUAAAAGAAGGAAAAAAUUAGAUAUAUUUAUUUAUUGAUUGCACAUUGAAAGGAACCAAACUUAAAAUACUGAUCUAAAAAAUAUAUCUCGAUACUUAAAAAAAAAAACACAGAGAUUCUAAAGAGGCAAUGAUAAGAGGACCCACAGCUCUUCUUUCUUGAAUAUACUUCACAAGUAAGUGCCCUUAUGGGAGAAACUACUGUGUGAGUGAGAUACAUCAAAAUAAGAUAAAAACUUUUUUUUUUUUUUUUUUUCGCAGAAAUAGUCUCAGAGGUAAAACAGCUGAGGUAUGUCACCAGCUAAGAGAAGAAAAAUCAUGCCUGGUAAAGCAGCCAAAGUCCACUUCUUCAACCUGGCCUUAUAGCUCAGUAACGUUUGUUCUUGGUCAUCAGAGUCACACAUCCAAUUCUGGCAUUGGAAAAACAAAUCAAACCUCAGUCAUACUCUGGGUGAGUCAGUCUCAUUAUUUUCACAUUUUUAGGUCAACAGCAUAAAUUAUGUAAAGUGACAGUUUAAACAGUGAGCACGUCUGUGUGUCCAAUUUGUUACCAAUAUUAGCCUUGCAAUCUAUGGACAAGGAGACCUCAACUUAAAUUCAAAUUCAUGGAUGCAGUUGCUAAAUGGAAGGAGAUAACCUAUGAGAUUUACAGAAUCUAUCAUUUCGGCAUCCCCUUCCCUAUUUUUAAGAUUACUCGUGUAUAUAAGUUUGUAGGCUUUAGCACAUUUUUAGUUUACCAUAAAUUGCUCUAAAUUCUAAAAACUAUAUUGUUCACAUUGGAAAGAGAAAUGUUUCUUAAAUUGAGUAGAUGUGUCAAGCAAUGGGAUCCAGAGCAUUUGCAAAUACCCACAAGAGAAGUUAACGGGGAGAAAAAACACAAUUUUUAGAUUGUUAUUAUUGUUUGAGCUAAACACUAAAUGAUGGUUUCAUAAAUCCUGGUUAUUCAAUAAUCCUAGUUAUUCCUGGCUUUUAUCAGCAAACUGGUUAAUGUAAGUGGAACAGACAAAAGUCUUGAUGUGUCUAUAGAUCUGGAAUCCUGAGUAAGGACUACAUAUUAGUGCAAUCAGAACAUGGGCACUUACCUGGGUCACUUAGGUGGUUUUAACUGGGUUACUCAGACAUUGGGUGACAAUAUUCAUUUAGUUGCUUUUAAUCUCUUCCUAGUUAAGAGGCAUUCCUUAGAUUGAUAGUAUUGGCAUCUCCCAAGAGCCAAUAAGAAAUGCAGACUCUCAACCUCCAUUCCAGAAUCAGAAUCUGUGUUUUAAAAAGAUCACUAGGUGAUUCCUAUGUACAUUAAUAUUUGAGAAGCAAUGCUUCUGGUAGAUAGGGAGUUCGAUCUGGGAUCGGAUAUGCAGCUAGCUGGGCCUUUCUGAAAAAUUGCCAACCAACAAUUUUUAUUGUUUUUCCUCUUUCUUUCACAGAAAGGAGAGAACCAUAGUACUUUUGCAAAAGACUA
Molecule: long non-coding RNA, 1465 nt
Filed under: Canis lupus familiaris (dog)
Lineage: Eukaryota; Metazoa; Chordata; Mammalia; Carnivora; Canidae
Description: lncRNA (ENSCAFG00030006134.1)
Source: RNAcentral